UACGGGGGGGGCAAGCGUUGUUCGGAAUUACUGGGCGUAAAGGGCUCGUAGGCGGCCAACUAAGUCAGACGUGAAAUCCCUCGGCUUAACCGGGGAACUGCGUCUGAUACUGGAUGGCUUGAGGUUGGGAGAGGGAUGCGGAAUUCCAGGUGUAGCGGUGAAAUGCGUAGAUAUCAGGAGGAACACCGGUGGCGAAGGCGGUUCUCUGGGCCUUACCUGACGCUGAGGAGCGAAAGCGUGGGGAGCAAACAGG
This 253-nucleotide ribosomal RNA is filed under the name uncultured bacterium. RNAcentral describes it as "partial 16S ribosomal RNA". It matches the Rfam family "Bacterial small subunit ribosomal RNA", at positions 524 to 776 of the family's 1533-position model. The record is from RNAcentral.